GCCUACGGGGGGCCGCAGUUAUUAAUCUUUUUCCCUUUUCUUCCGCCUUAACCAGCCAAGUCGCGUGAGGGAAGACUGCCCUAUGGGUUGUAAACCUCUUUUGUCAGGGAGCAACGCCGGCUACGUGUAGCCGGACUGAGAGUACCUGAAGAAAAAGCAUCGGCUAACUCCGUGCCAGCAGCCGCGGUAAUACGGAGGAUGCGAGCGUUAUCCGGAUUUAUUGGGUUUAAAGGGUGCGUAGGCGGAUUGAUAAGUUAGAGGUGAAAUGUCCGGGCUCAACUCGGGAACUGCCUCUAAUACUGUUG
This 305-nucleotide ribosomal RNA is filed under the name uncultured bacterium. RNAcentral's name for it is "bacterial SSU rRNA". It matches the Rfam family "Bacterial small subunit ribosomal RNA", at positions 337 to 638 of the family's 1533-position model. The record is from RNAcentral.